CCCCACAGCGCCAUUCCGCCCCACACCCCCCUCCCAUCCCCCCCCCGUUCUGCUCAGCGCUGUUGGCCGCCGCCCCACCGCCGCUCCGCUCCAACUCGGCCAAAGGUUCCUCCGCUCCCCCCCCGCCCCCGGGAGAGGCGGCUGUAGGGCCGUCUAUGGGGCGGCGGCGGGGUGCCGAUCCCAAAGCGGAACCUUAUGGGGGCGACGCCACCGCGCUGCGCUCCAUUUUAGGUCUGCGGUGGGGCUGAGGGGGAACGGCCCCAUAGAGCCGCUGUGUGGCCGUGUGGGGCUGUGGGGUCUGCGCGGGGCUAUGGGGCCCAUGUGGGGCUAUGGGAUCCCAGGGUCCACUCAGCGUUAUGGGGUCCCAUGUUCCAUGUGGGGCUGUGGGGUCUGUGUAGGGCUAUGGGGUCUGUGCAGGGCUAUGGGGUCUGUGUAGGGCUAUGGGAUCCCAGGGUCCACUCUGGGUUAUGGGAUCCCAUGUUCCGUGUGGGGCUAUGGGGUCUGUGUAGGGCUAUGGGGUUUGUGUAGGGCUAUGGGGCCCAUGUGGGGCUAUGGGGUCUGUGUAGGCUAUGGGGUCUGUGUAGGGCUAUGGGGUCUGUGCAGGGCUAUGGGAUCCCAGGGUCCACUCAGGGUUGUGGGAUCUCAUGUUCCAUGUGGGGCUGUGGGGUCUGUGUAGGCUAUGGGGUCUGUGUAGGCUAUGGGGUCUGUGUAGGGCUAUGGGGCCCAUGUGGGGCUAUGGGAUCCCAGGGUCCACUCAGGGUUAUGGGGUCCCAUGUUCCAUGUGGGGCUGUGGGGUCUGUGUAGGGCUAUGGGGUCUGUGUAGGCUAUGGGGUCUGUGUAGGGCUAUGGGGCCCAUGUGGGGCUAUGGGAUCCCAGGGUCCACUCAGGGUUAUGGGGUCCCAUGUUCCACGUGGGGCUGUGGGGUCUGUGUAGGGCUAUGGGGUCUGUGUAGGCUAUGGGGUCUGUGUAGGGUAUGGGGUCUGUGUAGGCUAUGGGGUCUGUGCAGGGCUAUGGGGUCUGUGUAGGGCUGUGGGGCCCAUGUGGGGCUAUGGGAUCCCAGGGUCCACUCAGGGUUAUGGGAUCCCAUGUUCCAUUUGGGGCUGUGGGGUGUGUGUGUGGUUAUGGGAUCUGUGCAGGGCUAUGGGAUCCCAGGGUCCACUCAGGGUUAUGGGGUCCCAUGUUCCAUGUGGGGCUGUGGGGUCUGUGCAGGGCUAUGGGGCCCAUGUGGGGCUAUGGGAUCCGAGUGUCCGUGCAGGGUUAUGGGGUCCAUGUGGGGCUAUGGGGUCUGUGUAGGGCUGUGGGGUGCAUGUGUGGCUAUGGGGUCUGUGUAGGGCUAUGGGGUCCGUGUGUGGUUAUGGGAUCCCCGAGUCCAUGCAGGGUUAUGGAAACCCAUGUUCCAUAUGGGGCUGUGGGGUCUGUGCAGGGCUAUGGGGUCUGUUUGAGGUUAUGGGAUCCUGGGGUCCAUGUGGGGCUACGGGGUCUGUAUGGGGCUAUGGGGUCUGCAUGGGGCUAUGGGGUCUGUAUGGGGCUAUGGGGUCUGCAUGGAGCUAUGGGGUCCAUGUGGGUCUAUGGGGUCUGUAUGGGACUAUGGGGUCUGCAUGGAGCUAUGGGGUCCAUGCGGGUCUAUGGGGUCUGUAUGGGGCUAUGGGGUCUGCAUGGGACUAUGGGGUCUGUAUGAGGCUAUGGAGUCCAUGCGGGGCUAUGGGGUCUAUAUGGGACUAUGGGGUCUGCAUGGGGCUAUGGAGUCCAUGCGGGGCUAUGGGGUCUAUAUGGGACUAUGGGGUCUGCAUGGGGCUAUGGGGUCGCUGUGUGGUUCCCCCCCUCUCCCUCAUGGGGCCGACCAUACGGGGCUGCUGCUCACUGUGGGGUGCAGAGCUGCAGGGACCGCUUCAGCGCCGACCCGGUGGGACCCCCUUUGUUUCUUAUAGGGUCUCACAGAGCGCUCUGUUUGUUGUUGUGGGGUCUCCGCUCUGUUUGUUGUGGGGUCUCCGCUCUGUUAUGGGGUCUCCGCUCUGUUAUGGGGUCUCCGCUCUGUUGUGGGGUCUCCGCUCUGUUUGUUGUGGGGUCUCCGCUCUGUUAUGGGGUCUCCACUCUGUUAUGGGGUCUCCGCUCUGUUAUGGGGUCUCCGCUCUGUUAUGGGGUUUCCAGGGCGGCAGUGUUUACCGCUCACCCUUCCCCUGCUGGGCUCACUGCCCUCAGCGGCACGUGGGGAAACGGAGGCGCUGCCGGGGGGGGCACAGCGCUCCCCCCCCCCAAACCCCCCCCGGCUGUAGGGCCGCCAAGUGGGGGAUGGGUGAUGGCCGCGAUCCUAUGGGGCGGGCUCAGCGCGGCGCUUCCCUUUGCCCCACAUACCCAAAUGGGGCCCUGAGGGCAGCGCAGCGUCCACUGCCCCCCCCCGCCCCCCAACUGCUCCC
RNAcentral lists this long non-coding RNA (2414 nucleotides) under Gallus gallus (chicken). RNAcentral describes it as "lncRNA (ENSGALG00010028822.1)". Lineage: Eukaryota; Metazoa; Chordata; Aves; Galliformes; Phasianidae. The record is from RNAcentral.